This 212-nucleotide ribosomal RNA is filed under the name uncultured bacterium. RNAcentral's name for it is "partial 16S ribosomal RNA". It matches the Rfam family "Bacterial small subunit ribosomal RNA", at positions 32 to 253 of the family's 1533-position model. The record is from RNAcentral.
AAUCAACGCUGGCGGCGUGCCUAACACAUGCAAGUCGCACGAGAAGUGGAGCAAUCCAUGAGUAAAGUGGCGCACGGGUGAGUAACACGUGAAUAAUCUACCUCCGAGUGGGGAAGUAACUGAGAGAAAUACUUAGCUAAUACCGCAUAACACUUACGAGUCAAAGCAGCAAUGCGCUUGGAGAGGAGUUCGCGGCCGAUUAGUUAGUUGGC